GAAGAACCACGAAGCUAGCAACUAAAUCCUGGAAUGCUGUUGCAGAAAAGCUCCACAACUUUGAUGGAAAAUAGCCAAAAGCAUCAGCCUCUGCCUCAGUUUCAUGUCCUAAAUCUUGAGUGGUAUACGUAAUUGGUGGAACUUAAUUUGCAUCCAGACCUCUGGAGGCAAGGGAAUCUUGGGAAGCAGUCUUUGGCUGUCCAGGAAGACAAAUAAAACAGAAGGGAAACUACUCCUCUCUUUGGAAGAUGGAACCAGAAAAGGAAACCGCCCUACACCUGUAGCUGACCUUUGCAAUAGGCCUGUAGGAGCUGCCCCAGUUCCAGGCACACAAGGCAAAUGGCUGCAUCCUUGCUGCCUCAGGCCUCCUCAAAAUGCAUCUUCCAGGGACCGAGAAUCCACCCUGCUCCACAAGCAAACAUGUGAGCGUCAGCCAGACACCUUCUCCUCCAUCAUCUCCCACAGUCCUUCCAUGUCUAAUUCCUGAAACCCAGAUGUCUGCUUCAGGAGCCUAAAAUAAAGUCUCAACUUUUUCACGGUCAAA
Long non-coding RNA from Leopardus geoffroyi (Geoffroy's cat), 544 nucleotides. RefSeq lists it as uncharacterized. The transcript is spliced from 3 exons. NCBI's taxonomy places the organism in Eukaryota, Metazoa, Chordata, Mammalia, Carnivora, Felidae. The record is from RefSeq and is a predicted model, not a curated record.